RNAcentral lists this ribosomal RNA (774 nucleotides) under uncultured Neocallimastigales. RNAcentral's name for it is "partial large subunit ribosomal RNA". It matches the Rfam family "Eukaryotic large subunit ribosomal RNA", at positions 24 to 644 of the family's 3401-position model. Lineage: Eukaryota; Fungi; Neocallimastigomycota; Neocallimastigomycetes; Neocallimastigales. The record is from RNAcentral.
CACGCAUGACACACUGCAUAUCAAUAAGCGGAGGAAAAGAAACUAACAAGGAUUCCCCUAGUAACGGCGAGUGAAGCGGGAAGAGCUCAAAUUUGAAAUCUUCAAGGGUUUCCCUUGACGAAUUGUGGUUUAAAGAAGUGUUUUCUGUUAGAGAGGUGGUAAAAGUUCUUUGGAAUAGGACAUCAUAGAGGGUGAGAAUCCCGUAUUUGACCGUUACUUUCCAGCUGUGUGAUACACUUUCAAAGAGUCGGAUUGUUUGGGAAUGCAGUCCAAAAUGGGUGGUAAAUUUCAUCUAAAGCUAAAUAUUGGCGAGAGACCGAUAGCGAACAAGUACCGUGAGGGAAAGAUGAAAAGAACUUUGAAAAGAGAGUUAAACAGUACGUGAAAUUGUCAAAAGGGAAGCGUUUGACACCAGUGUUGUUUUCUCGAAAAUCAAUUAAAAAUGAUGGGAUUUUGUGUUGUAUUGACUUUAUCAGCUUUCUGCACUUUUUCCUUAUCUUUUUUAAUGCACUUUUCGUUUAACAAGUCAACAUCAAUUUCUUUUGUUGUAAAAGAGUCAUUGGAAGGUGGCUUUUUCUUCGGAAAAAGUGUUUAUAGCCUUUGGCUUCUGCAAUCGGAGAGAUUGAGGUCUGCAGCGUAGAUCCUUCGGGGUUAGAUACAUUUGUGCUAAGUUAUAGCCUUGUAUAGACAACUUGUUGACUAUGCUCAGUCAUGUAGCUUACUCGCUUGUGCUAUUUUACCUACGCUUAGGAUGUUGACUGAUAUGUAGUCGUA